This is a long non-coding RNA of Astyanax mexicanus (Mexican tetra), 541 nucleotides long. RefSeq lists it as uncharacterized. The transcript has 3 exons. Lineage: Eukaryota; Metazoa; Chordata; Actinopteri; Characiformes; Acestrorhamphidae. The record is from RefSeq and is a predicted model, not a curated record.
CUGGGAGUGCUGGUGCUGGUUUUUAGGCGGAGCUCUUUAGGGAACUGGUAGUGCUGGUGCUGUUUUUUAGGCGGAGUUCUUUAGGGAACUAGGAGUGCUGUUUUUUAGGCGGAGUUCUUUAGGGAACUGGGAGUGCUGGUUUUUAGGUGGAGUUCUUUAGGGAACUGGGAGUGCUGGUUUUUAGGUGGAGCUCUUUAGGGAACUGGGAGUGCUGGUUUUUAGAUAGAGUUCUUUAGGGAACUGGGAGUGCUGGUUUUUAGAUGGAGUUCUUUAGGGAACUGGGAGUGCUGGUUUUUAGGUGGAGCUCUUUAUGGAAAUGGGAGUGCUGGUUUUUAGGUGGAGUUCUUUAGGGAACUGGGAGUGCUGUUUUUUAGGUGGAGCUCUUUAGGGAACUGGGAGUGCUGGUUUUUAGGUGGAGUUCUUUAGGGAACUGGGAGUGCUGUUUUUUAGGUGGAUUUCUUUAGGGAACUCGGAGUUCUGGUUUUUAGAUGGAGUUCUUUAGGGAACUGGGAGUGCUGGUUUUUAGGUGGAGCUCUUUAUG